UUACGCCCAUAUCACGUUGAAACAUCGGUUCUCGCACGAUCACUGAAGUUAAGCAACACUUGGUUAGUACCAUGAUGGGUGACCACUUGUGAAUAUUAGAUGCUGCAAG
Non-coding RNA from Acanthosepion pharaonis, 109 nucleotides. Lineage: Eukaryota; Metazoa; Mollusca; Cephalopoda; Sepiida; Sepiidae. The record is from the annotation of a GenBank genome assembly.